GAUGAACGCUGGCGGCGUGCCUAAUACAUGCAAGUCGAGCGAACAGACGAGGAGCUUGCUCCUCUGACGUUAGCGGCGGACGGGUGAGUAACACGUGGAUAACCUACCUAUAAGACUGGGAUAACUUCGGGAAACCGGAGCUAAUACCGGAUAAUAAAUUGAACCGCAUGGUUCAAUAGUGAAAGACGGUUUUGCUGUCACUUAUAGAUGGAUCCGCGCUGCAUUAGCUAGUUGGUAAGGUAACGGCUUACCAAGGCAACGAUGCGUAGCCGACCUGAGAGGGUGAUCGGCCACACUGGAACUGAGACACGGUCCAGACUCCUACGGGAGGCAGCAGUAGGGAAUCUUCCGCAAUGGGCGAAAGCCUGACGGAGCAACGCCGCGUGAGUGAUGAAGGUCUUCGGAUCGUAAAACUCUGUUAUUAGGGAAGAACAAAUGUGUAAGUAACUAUGCACGUCUUGACGGUACCUAAUCAGAAAGCCACGGCUAACUACGUG
This 497-nucleotide ribosomal RNA is filed under the name uncultured bacterium. Its description in RNAcentral is "partial 16S ribosomal RNA". It matches the Rfam family "Bacterial small subunit ribosomal RNA", at positions 28 to 507 of the family's 1533-position model. The record is from RNAcentral.